GGCUGGCCCCAGUGCAGAGGUGUUUAGAACUAAUUGAUCACAACCAGUUAUAGAUUCCUUUGUUCUUUGCUCUCACUGCUUCACUUGACUAGCCUAAA
RNAcentral lists this Y RNA (98 nucleotides) under Prolemur simus (greater bamboo lemur). RNAcentral describes it as "Y RNA (ENSPSMG00000005928.1)". It matches the Rfam family "Y RNA". Rfam says of the family: Y RNAs are components of the Ro ribonucleoprotein particle (Ro RNP), in association with Ro60 and La proteins. The Y RNAs and Ro60 and La proteins are well conserved, but the function of the Ro RNP is not known. The record is from Rfam by way of RNAcentral. Lineage: Eukaryota; Metazoa; Chordata; Mammalia; Primates; Lemuridae.